CGUCAAUCGUAGGUGAACCUGCGGAAGGAUCAUUG
Molecule: ribosomal RNA, 35 nt
Filed under: uncultured Trebouxia photobiont
Lineage: Eukaryota; Viridiplantae; Chlorophyta; Trebouxiophyceae; Trebouxiales; Trebouxiaceae
Description: partial 18S ribosomal RNA
Source: RNAcentral